This 82-nucleotide transfer RNA is filed under the name Janthinobacterium lividum. Its description in RNAcentral is "tRNA-Leu". It matches the Rfam family "tRNA". Rfam says of the family: Transfer RNA (tRNA) molecules are approximately 80 nucleotides in length. Their secondary structure includes four short double-helical elements and three loops (D, anti-codon, and T loops). Further hydrogen bonds mediate the characteristic L-shaped molecular structure. tRNAs have two regions of fundamental functional importance: the anti-codon, which is responsible for specific mRNA codon recognition, and the 3' end, to which the tRNAs corresponding amino acid is attached (by aminoacyl-tRNA synthetases). tRNAs cope with the degeneracy of the genetic code in two manners: having more than one tRNA (with a specific anti-codon) for a particular amino acid; and 'wobble' base-pairing, i.e. permitting non-standard base-pairing at the 3rd anti-codon position. Lineage: Bacteria; Pseudomonadati; Pseudomonadota; Betaproteobacteria; Burkholderiales; Oxalobacteraceae. The record is from RNAcentral. RNAcentral also lists the same sequence under 2 other names.
GCGGAUGUGGCGAAAUUGGUAGACGCGCCAGAUUUAGGCUCUGGUUCCGUAAGGUGUGUGGGUUCGAGUCCCUCCAUCCGCA